RNAcentral lists this ribosomal RNA (229 nucleotides) under uncultured bacterium. RNAcentral describes it as "partial 16S ribosomal RNA". It matches the Rfam family "Bacterial small subunit ribosomal RNA", at positions 524 to 751 of the family's 1533-position model. The record is from RNAcentral.
UACGUAGGGUGCAAGCGUUUGUCCGGAAUCAUUGGGCGUAAAGAGCGUGUAGGCGGCCCGGUAAGUCCGCUGUAAAAGUCAAAGGCUCAACCUUGAAUGUCAGUGGAUACUGCCGGGCUAGAGUCCGGAAGAGGCGAGUGGAACUCCGGGUGUAGCGGUGGAAUGCGUAGAGAUCCGGAAGAACACCAGUGGCGGAAGGCGGCCCGCUGGGCAGUGGCUGACGCUGAGG